Molecule: ribosomal RNA, 443 nt
Filed under: uncultured bacterium
Lineage: Bacteria
Description: bacterial SSU rRNA
Rfam family: Bacterial small subunit ribosomal RNA
Source: RNAcentral
GAGCGGGACACUUCGGUGUACAGCGGCGGACGGGUGAGUAACACGUGGGUAACCUGCCUGAUAGACCGGGAUAACGCUUGGAAACGAGUGCUAAUACCGGAUAGGCUCUUGAAGCGCAUGCUUCGAGAGGGAAAGAGGCUAUCGCCUCACUGUCAGAUGGACCCGCGGCGCAUUAGCUAGUUGGUGAGGUAACGGCUCACCAAGGCGACGAUGCGUAGCCGACCUGAGAGGGUGACCGGCCACACUGGGACUGAGACACGGCCCAGACUCCUACGGGAGGCAGCAGUGGGGAAUAUUGCGCAAUGGGCGAAAGCCUGACGCAGCAACGCCGCGUGGGGGAUGAAUGCCUUCGGGUUGUAAACCCCUUUCAGCAGGGACGAAGCGAAAGUGACGGUACCUGCAGAAGAAGCGCCGGCUAACUACGUGCCAGCAGCCGCGGUAAU